Non-coding RNA from Notechis scutatus (mainland tiger snake), 174 nucleotides. Lineage: Eukaryota; Metazoa; Chordata; Lepidosauria; Squamata; Elapidae. The record is from RefSeq and is a predicted model, not a curated record.
UAAAGGUCAAACACUUAAUUCCCUAUUUCUAAGAAACAACAUGAGUUUCUAAUGAACUCAAAUGGAACUAGAAAGCCCACUAAUAAAAAAUCAAGCCAGUUCUCUUUUCCUAUUAUUGUUCCCAUACAUUAACAUCUGCUUGAACUGUUCUGUUGCUGGGACUCUGGUCUGUGA